CUUCCAGUAGCGCCUUAGAGACCAACUAAGUUUGUUAUUGGUAUGAGCUUUUGUGUGCAUGCACACUUCUUCAGUGUUGGUCUUAGUUGGUCUCUAAGGUGCUACUGGAAG
Molecule: non-coding RNA, 111 nt
Organism: Podarcis lilfordi (Lilford's wall lizard)
Lineage: Eukaryota; Metazoa; Chordata; Lepidosauria; Squamata; Lacertidae
Source: the annotation of a GenBank genome assembly